This 609-nucleotide ribosomal RNA is filed under the name Triticum aestivum (bread wheat). RNAcentral describes it as "partial small subunit ribosomal RNA". The record is from RNAcentral. Lineage: Eukaryota; Viridiplantae; Streptophyta; Magnoliopsida; Poales; Poaceae.
AUCGUUCUCCGCACCCUUUCUUCUCUCGUGGUCAUCAUCCAACUCCUGUCGUCGUCGUUCCGUCUCUCUUUUUCGUCAUCGCCAUCCACUUGUAUCUUCCUCGUCGUCCUCGCGUCGUUCUUCCUCUUCUACGUCAUCCCCGCGUUGUUCUCUUCCCGUCGUCAAAGCACUACCUCUUCUUCUUCCUCGUCGUCGUCGUCCGUUCCUCCUUCCUCCUCUUCCUCGUUCGUCGUCUUUCUUCCUUUCCCUAGUGCACCCCGUGGUCUGUUCGCACUGGGGAUCAGACCAUCCCGCGCGCUCCACCUACCGCCACACACCGAGAUCUACCACUACCUCCUUCACCAUCUACCUCUACCAGCCACACCACCCUCCUCGACCAUUACCUCCUACUACACCACCGCGAUACCACACGCCACCGACCUACCGACCUUCCGCAACACCGCGCGGCGGUGCGGCCGGACCGGCGCCGCCGCCGGCCUCCACCUCUUCUUCCCCACUCCCUCUCCUCUUCUCUACGGUCCGGGCUCCCCUAGCUUCCGGUGGGAUCCCUAAAACUGGGGGAGAGCUAGUCUAGACGGUGAAACGGGAAAACGGGAGGAAGACAGAAGA